This is a long non-coding RNA of Motacilla alba alba, 266 nucleotides long. RefSeq lists it as uncharacterized. NCBI's taxonomy places the organism in Eukaryota, Metazoa, Chordata, Aves, Passeriformes, Motacillidae. The record is from RefSeq and is a predicted model, not a curated record. The transcript has 3 exons.
GGAUUGUACAGAUCCAACAUCUUUACUACUUUUUGUACUGCCACUCUGGUGAAGAGGCUGGGGAUGCAUGGGAGCUUGAUCUUAGAAAAAGUAAUGAAGACUUAAAGAAGCAUUUAGAAUUCCUUGGGAACACAAGUGAGAAAUUUAUCUUUCACCUCAUCCCAGAGUAUGUGGAGGAAGCAUCAAGGACACUAUGAUGGCAGAUAAGUGAGAGUAUUGUUAUUCAGUGACUGCUGGUGUUCUUCAGAAAGCUUGCUGCACUAAAG